RNAcentral lists this ribosomal RNA (225 nucleotides) under uncultured marine eukaryote. RNAcentral's name for it is "partial 18S ribosomal RNA". It matches the Rfam family "Eukaryotic small subunit ribosomal RNA", at positions 1 to 239 of the family's 1831-position model. The record is from RNAcentral.
AACCUGGUUGAUCCUGCCAGUAGUCAUACGCUCGUCUCAAAGAUUAAGCCAUGCAUGUGUAAGUUCAACUAUAUGAUCUGAAAACUGCGAACGGCUCAUUAUAUCAGUUUUCGUCUAUUUGACAGUCCCUUUACUAUUCGGAUACCCGUAGUAAUUCUAGAGCUAAUACGUGCGUCACACUCGUAAGAGUGGCGUUAUUAGAUAGAAACCAUCCCGUUUCGGCGG